CCUGAUGGCUCAAAUGGUAAAGCGUCUGCCUACAAUGCGGGAGACCCGGGUUUGAUUCCUGGGUCAGGA
RNAcentral lists this transfer RNA (69 nucleotides) under Ovis aries (sheep). It matches the Rfam family "tRNA". From Rfam's summary of the family: Transfer RNA (tRNA) molecules are approximately 80 nucleotides in length. Their secondary structure includes four short double-helical elements and three loops (D, anti-codon, and T loops). Further hydrogen bonds mediate the characteristic L-shaped molecular structure. tRNAs have two regions of fundamental functional importance: the anti-codon, which is responsible for specific mRNA codon recognition, and the 3' end, to which the tRNAs corresponding amino acid is attached (by aminoacyl-tRNA synthetases). tRNAs cope with the degeneracy of the genetic code in two manners: having more than one tRNA (with a specific anti-codon) for a particular amino acid; and 'wobble' base-pairing, i.e. permitting non-standard base-pairing at the 3rd anti-codon position. The record is from Rfam by way of RNAcentral. Lineage: Eukaryota; Metazoa; Chordata; Mammalia; Artiodactyla; Bovidae.